Molecule: small nucleolar RNA, 72 nt
Organism: Trichechus manatus latirostris (Florida manatee)
Lineage: Eukaryota; Metazoa; Chordata; Mammalia; Sirenia; Trichechidae
Product: small nucleolar RNA SNORD82
Exons: 1
Source: RefSeq, a predicted model, not a curated record
AGCACAGAUGAUGAACAACAAAGGGACUUAAUGCUGAAAUCUGAUGUUACAUUGUGACAUGCUGAUGGGUGC